ACAGAUCGGGCCACACGACGGGGUGUUUAUUCCUCACAGUGCAAGGGACCGCUGCACAUAAUGUUGCAAGCAUGUACAUGUGAGUGCGCUGAGCACUUUGUCUGGUGUUACUCCCUCCGGACUGUUUGUUGCGUUUAGUGUAAGACACUGACAACAGGCUCGGAGUUCACUAUGUAAACUCAAGGCAGAAGGCAGAAGCUUUAUUCUGUGGUUCCCACACUCAGCGCUAACACAAUCCACAAAUUAGAUAAAAUAAAGGGUCAUCAUAGCUCAGUCCGACUCCUCCACCCACCUGUGUUCAAAAAUUAAACGUCAGAUCUGAGCUUCUCUGGCUCAAGUCAAACCCUGAAAAACAGCAUUAUACACUUGAUGAAAAACAUUGUGAUUGUAGUCAUCUGAAUUACUUCACCGUGUCCUAUUGUACGGUGAGGUUUUUGGGCGGAUGCUGUACUGUACCAAUGAGCUGCCAGUCCUUAAGACUUUCAUUUAUUGAGGUUUCCAGGUCAAGUGGGGAUCAGGGCUGAUCCUGAGGCUGAUUAGACCCACUGAAACGAUAGGGUCAAGAGAGACAGAUCUAAGGAAGCUGAAAGCAGUGAUGGAGCAGAGUCUGCCAGGUCAGGGCUAUUCAUCUACAUUAUAAUGUCAUGAUGAGAUUACUUCAACUACAAGGG
Long non-coding RNA from Scatophagus argus, 671 nucleotides. RefSeq lists it as uncharacterized. NCBI's taxonomy places the organism in Eukaryota, Metazoa, Chordata, Actinopteri, Scatophagidae. The transcript is spliced from 2 exons. The record is from RefSeq and is a predicted model, not a curated record.